UUCUCCAAAAUCAUCUAGGGUUUAGCUCCUCAUUCUCUUUCCGGCGCCGAAUCAGUGGCCGCCAUUGUAGAAUUGUGUAGUUUUAGUUUUUAUAUAUCAACUGUAUUUGUAUAUUUUGCACUUCGCAUUUCUAUAAGCUUCGCUAAAUUCUCAAAAUAGUGCAGUCUUACAGCGAUUAGUGCAUAAAGGAAAAGCUGAAUUUAUCAGCGGCGGCCAGACAACCGUUGAGAUGAAUCCACAGAUUGUGUUUGGGGAUUAUCCAAUGAUGGCAUUAAAUCUUUGAGACCUGAAUUAUCAAUUUUGAUGACACCUACAAGCAUUUUUUCUGACCUACAUCUUCGCAACUGUUCAUAUUGUUGUACAAGUGUAACCUAUAAAGACUUAUAUCAUAUGAUGUUUUAGAGAUAAAUAGUUGUGUCUUUAUCAUAUAUGAGGAUUUAGAUAUAUAAUAGUUGUUUCUUUAUCCUAUGAGGAUUUAGCUAUGUAAUAGUUGUUUCUUUAUCAUAUAUGAGGUUUUAGAGAUGUAAUAGUUGUUUCUUACUAUAUGUGUGGAUUCAAUCAUUUGAGAUCAAUAAAUUUCACAUUUUGUUUUAUACUCCUUGUAGUUAUAAUAUUUUGAUGGUACACUAUUGAAAUUGGGGCGAGUUUUUCAGUACUCGUAUAACCCAAUGUAUCUAUAUCAUCAUAUAAUAAUCUGUCUUUGUUGAUUUAGCAGUUUGUUUUUUCUGUUUUCCUUCGGGGGAAGACAGUUGAAUCCUGCGUUUUAAUCCGAAGAUGGAGAUCUCAUAUCCUAUUGCCUUGUGGAGCGGAAUCUCUGCAAUUACUAUUUGGGAUUGACCAUGAGAAAUACAUUCAUUUCAACUAAUUUUUAUAUGUUUGUCUUGUUAUGAAAUCUAUUAUAAAGAUCAUCAUUUUUGUCAAUUCUGCAAUUCCGAGUCCUUCAUCAAUGAGUAUCUAUUAGUUUUUCUCAUUCAAACUUUGUUAGGAAAAUUGAUUUUUUUUCUUGUGUUUGAGAUGGAACUGAUGAAUAUUUCCCCAGAUGAUCGAAGCUGAAAUUACUGAGCGCUUUUUAUGUAUUUUCUCCUUAUAGGGGAAAAUCCAAGCCAGAUAUUCUGAUCCGUCUCCGUUUAUAUGAAAAAGUUUUGAUCUUUUUUUUUGUUUUUGAACUAGUUUGAUUGAUUUUACUAUAUUUUCUCCUUAUAGGGGAUAAUCCAAGCCAGAUAUUCUGAUCCAUAUACCAAUUUAUGUUUUGCUUUUGUUAAGUUCUGUUCUUUCUUAUUGUAUAUCAGUGCAUUUUGUACAAUUUGUGAUGAUUUACAUUGAUAUGGGACAAGUUCUUCUGUAUUGUAUGACUCGUAAUGCUAAAAUCAUUGCACAGUGUUCUUUUCUUUGUCGAUGUAUAAAGUGUUUGGAUAUAUUUUUUCUUCAAAUAAUUUGUUUGAUUGAAUUAUGAUGUGUAAGGAUGAUGAAGAAAUCAUUCGGAUUCCCACUGAUGUAUAUACGUGAUUACUACAACCAGCUACUUCUGACUUCACAUCAAUUCUCUAUGUUUUCAAGUAUUUUUUUUUGCGUAUUUGGGGAUUUCCAGUGAUGGCAUGAAAUCUUUGAGACCUGAAUUCUCAAUUUUGAUGACAACUACAAGCAAUUUUUCUGAGGAUUUUCCCCAUUGUUUUUUAAGGCUGACAUUUUUUCAACUGUUAAUAUUGAUCUAUUAUGUUAGGUUUUAAAGAUGUGUUCUACUAAUCUCAAAACCAGCCAUUUGAAUGUAGUACAACUGAUUCACCUGUUGCAACAUGUCAACCACCCUUAUUAAUGGAGGAACUUGGGUGACAAUGCUACGCACUUUAACGGAGCAGAACAUGGUGGUGGACAGGCUUAGCAGGGAAAGCCUCAAUUGCUGAAAUUUUGGAAGACCAACAUUUUUCAUAGUUCCUCUACUGUUUUCAAGUAGAGUAGUAUAGACAUUUGGGAACUAUGUAUGUACUCAAGAAAGCUUUGAAUUUUUGUAUCUCUUUGUUAAAACUACUUAAUAUGAUGCCUCACAAUUUAUAUUGGUAA
This is a long non-coding RNA of Solanum tuberosum (potato), 2058 nucleotides long. RefSeq lists it as uncharacterized. The record is from RefSeq and is a predicted model, not a curated record. Lineage: Eukaryota; Viridiplantae; Streptophyta; Magnoliopsida; Solanales; Solanaceae. The transcript has 2 exons.